GAUUCCCUUAGUAACGGCGAGCGAAAAGGGAAUGGUCCAGCGCCAAGUCUUGAUACUUAGGUGUUCAAGAGAUGCGGCGUUAAUGUAUUGGCGCAUCGUACGUUGUUCCAUGUUUCAAGUUCCCUUGACUGGGACAUCCAGAGUGGGUGCCAGGCCCAUAGAGACAAGGAGCUGACGGACGCAGGCCGAUGCAUUUUAGAGUCAGGUUGCUUGAGAGUGCAGCUUAAAGUCGGUGGUAAACUCCAUCCAAGACUAAAUAUGACAGCGAGACCGAUAGCAAACAAGUACCGUGAGGGAAAGUUGCAAAGCACUUUGAAGAGAGAGUUCAACAGUACGUGAAACCACUGGGAGGCAAACAGAUGGAACCACGAAGUGUGCGCUCUGGUCGAUUCAAUCAACGUCAUUGAUUAGUGACGCUCGUCCGGGAUCUCUUCGGAGGUUGGAUUGGCGUUAUUCCGAUUGAUGACGUUGGUGCAUUUCGUGCCGGAGAUGCUAAGCCACGUUCGACUAGCUAGUUGGGACGGCCGUAGGACAGGGUUCGAGAAAGGUGCCCGUCAAGUGCYUGCAUUUGGCGGCGUUAUAGUCUCGAGCYGGYACCGUCGCCUAACAUACUGGUCGAUAUAAUUGCUCCGAUCGGAGUUGAACUGCGUUUGCCUAUGAUGGUUAGUCGUUGUUUAGAGACGUUCUUUGCGUAUCUUCGGGUGCGAAAAGCCGUUUCGACAAUGGCGGCUAGCUGUUGUUUGCGUUACGUGGUGGAACUGUGGCGCGAGUAGGUCGGUGUCCAUCUGACCCGUCUUGAAACACGGACCAAGGAGCCUAUCAUAUACGCGAGUCGCUCGGUCUUGUUUAGGCCUGGGAGGCGUAAUGAAAGUAAAGUUACGAGAUCGUAAGAUCGCAGUAACGGCCCGCCUACUUCGUUUAUUGGCGAUCAGGCGGAGCUGGAGCGUAUACGAUGGUACCCGAAAGAUGGUGAACUAUGCCUGGGCAAGACGAAGCCAGAGGAAACUCUGGUGGAGGUCUGUAGCGAUUCUGACGUGCAAAUCGAUCGUCAGACCUGGGUAUAGGGGCGAAAGACUAAUCGAACCAUCUAGUAGCUGGUUCCCUCCGAAGUUUCCCUCAGGAUAGCAGGCGCUUAUUURUUGUGAUAGUCUCAUCCGGUAAAGCUAAUGAUUAGAGGUCUUGGGGUUGAAACGACCUCAACCUAUUCUCAAACUUUAAAUGGGUGAGAUGGUCGACUUUCUUGAUUGAAGCCGACCAUUCGGAUAGAAGUGCCUAGUGGGCCAUUUUUGGUAAGCAGAACUGGCGCUGUGGGAUGAACCAAACGUCGAGAUAAGGCAUCAAAUGCGUACGCUCAUCAGACCCCAUAAAAGGUGUUGGUUGCUAUAGACAGCAGGACGGUGGMCAUGGAAGUCGGAAUCC
Molecule: ribosomal RNA, 1419 nt
Filed under: aff. Paralgopsis sp. AD733
Lineage: Eukaryota; Metazoa; Arthropoda; Arachnida; Sarcoptiformes; Pyroglyphidae
Description: eukaryotic LSU rRNA
Rfam family: Eukaryotic large subunit ribosomal RNA
Source: RNAcentral